AAUUAUAUGCCUGAUAAAAGGGUUAAUUUGAUAGAUUAAAUAAUGUAUAAUUC
This 53-nucleotide transfer RNA is filed under the name Tetragnatha nitens. RNAcentral describes it as "tRNA-Ile". Lineage: Eukaryota; Metazoa; Arthropoda; Arachnida; Araneae; Tetragnathidae. The record is from RNAcentral.